UGAACGCUGGCGGCGUGCCUAAUACAUGCAAGUCGAGCGAACAGACGAGGAGCUUGCUCCUCUGACGUUAGCGGCGGACGGGUGAGUAACACGUGGAUAACCUACCUAUAAGACUGGGAUAACUUCGGGAAACCGGAGCUAAUACCGGAUAAUAUAUUGAACCGCAUGGUUCAAUAGUGAAAGACGGUUUUGCUGUCACUUAUAGAUGGAUCCGCGCCGCAUUAGCCAGUUGGUAAGGUAACGGCUUACCAAGGCGACGAUGCGUAGCCGACCUGAGAGGGUGAUCGGCCACACUGGAACUGAGACACGGUCCAGACUCCUACGGGAGGCAGCAGUAGGGAAUCUUCCGCAAUGGGCGAAAGCCUGACGGAGCAACGCCGCGUGAGUGAUGAAGGUCUUCGGAUCGUAAAACUCUGUUAUUAGGGAAGAACAAAUGUGUAAGUAACUAUGCACGUCUUGACGGUACCUAAUCAGAAAGCCACGGCUAACUACGUG
This 495-nucleotide ribosomal RNA is filed under the name uncultured bacterium. Its description in RNAcentral is "partial 16S ribosomal RNA". It matches the Rfam family "Bacterial small subunit ribosomal RNA", at positions 30 to 507 of the family's 1533-position model. The record is from RNAcentral.